AGAGUUUGAUCCUGGCUCAGAAUCAACGCUGGCGGCGCGCUUAACACAUGCAAGUCGAACGAGAAAGCGGGGGCAACCUCGCAAGUACAGUGGCGUACGGGUGAGUAACACGUGGGUAAUCUGCCUUUAGUGGGGAAUAACGCUGGGAACCGGCGCUAAUACCGCAUAAGCCUGAGAAGGGAAAGUCGCAAGACGCUGAA
This 200-nucleotide ribosomal RNA is filed under the name uncultured bacterium. RNAcentral describes it as "partial 16S ribosomal RNA". It matches the Rfam family "Bacterial small subunit ribosomal RNA", at positions 8 to 222 of the family's 1533-position model. The record is from RNAcentral.